Molecule: long non-coding RNA, 337 nt
Filed under: Vitis vinifera (wine grape)
Lineage: Eukaryota; Viridiplantae; Streptophyta; Magnoliopsida; Vitales; Vitaceae
Description: long non-coding RNA (VVIN_LNC000296)
Source: RNAcentral
AUUGUCUCUCACUUGCUUGGACGUUGACUUUGUUCAUAAAUUGCCUCAAUUUAUGCAUCGUCCCACUAUCCAACAUUUGUUCACUAUUAAAUGUCUCCUCCACCAUUUGCGUGGUACCAUCACUCAUAGCUUGUUAAUUUCUUCAUCGACAUUCCUCGAUGUCCCUUGAAGGAUUUUCUAACAUAGAUUUGGGUAGAUAACAUUGAUGAUCACAACAUCCACUAUGCUUGUGUUCCUAGUCCUAAUCCUAUAUUUUGGAGUUCAAAGAAACCACACUUCUUUGCUUGCUCUUCCACCAAAGUGGAGUACCUGUACCAAGUUGUUGCCUUCAUCACCU